GUUUAACCCUUCGGGGUUGUCCCAAGAACAUAAGUAGAUGGAAUGACCCUAGGGUGAAUUGUGACUAACUUUUAUUAUUAUUUUUAUUAAAUUCCUCUCUCUGCAAGAUUAGGACUCUAAUUUCAGAGAGACAUUAUUUGGUUCCUAGAGAUUCAUGAUGAGUGAGGAAGACCCUCGGCUCACUCAUCAUUCAUCUCCUCAUUAGUG
This 207-nucleotide unclassified non-coding RNA is filed under the name Hevea brasiliensis (rubber tree). The record is from RNAcentral. Lineage: Eukaryota; Viridiplantae; Streptophyta; Magnoliopsida; Malpighiales; Euphorbiaceae.